AUCACCUAUGGAUCUUGAGACCUGCAAAAGUAGCAAAGCUCUGUCAACUGAGUAACCCUCUAUCUGUGCAUAUUAUUGUUAAGCAGGCAAUGCAAUAAUCUUCUCUUUGCAACAAUUUCACAGCUAUCUCCUGCCAAUGUAUAAAAAAAUUCAGAUUGUAAUGUUUUAAUAAUUUUAUACUCUUCGCUACAAAUCUCACUUGAAUUUCUAAAUAUGCAAAUAGGCAGAUCACGCACCAACGGAUUUAUCAUAUUUUGCAGUCAUCUAAUUCCAGUGAUCUGUGAAAGCACCACUUCAUGCUUAAAGUAGGAGUGGCAAUUCAUGUUCAUGGGUCAUGUUUGCGUCGACAAAUAGAUACAACAGAAUUUGGGUUAACACGAACAUGACACAAUAAGCUAAUCAUGUCAGAAAUGCAAAACACGACAUGAUAACACAUUUAACACUAUGUUUACGUGACCCAUUUAAUACACACACAUUUAACACAUUGACACAACCCAUUUAACACUUUAUGAUGCUAAUUCAAUAUGUUUAGAUUUAUUAAUUUCUUGAUAUAGAAAAUAUUAAAAAUAUUAAAUUAUAAAUACAA
Molecule: unclassified non-coding RNA, 586 nt
Filed under: Hevea brasiliensis (rubber tree)
Lineage: Eukaryota; Viridiplantae; Streptophyta; Magnoliopsida; Malpighiales; Euphorbiaceae
Source: RNAcentral